UUAUUUCAUAAGGCACAGGUGCAUUGGUAUCUUUGAUUAUCAUUGUUAUAUCCCGUAUUUUUGCACGUUGGAUUAUUCGUAAGCUAAUCGACAUAAGUUUAAGGACAAGAUUAUUUUUGAGAUAUGAGAUAAGGACUUUUAAUCCCGAUUUUAAUAAGUGCACGAUUUGCUUGUAAAUUAUAAUUAGUGUGGAAAUAUUAGUGGAGAUUAGGGAUUAACUAACCAUGAUUAGAUUAUUAAGUGGGGAUUUAUAAUUAAUUAAGCAAAAUAUUUUUGGACCAUUGUUAAUGUGAUCAGCAGCAACACGGGAUAGAGACACAUAAGGACGCAUACAUGCAAUGAAAGUAAUUUUUUUGUUUCGCUGGAGACUUUGAGUGUGCAAGCUGGCACACCUAUAUUCAACACCAAAUGACAAUCCUUAUAUUUCGUACAUGUGUAUUACUUGGUCAUAAAAGGGAAUUAUGAGAUCAACUUUUGUCAUUUAGUAGAAACCCACUUUACGUUAACCUUUAUUAAAGAAACCAAAGGCUAUUUCAUGUGUCAAAGUCCUCAUGUUUUUUAGACACAAACAAAACAAAGGGCUAGGUGAUAGUAGUUGAGAGGGAUCAUGUUACAUCCCGUAUUUUCAUAUAUUGGAAAGCGUGCGAGUUAAAUGAUAUUAGUAAUGAAAACGAGGUUAUCCUUCCAAUCUUAUGGGUGGUUGUAGUGAUGGCACAUAUGUGUUAUGAAGUUAAACAAAUCUAAGAAAAUAAGUUUUGUCGAGGUUCGAAAUUUAUUUGACGAAAUAUGGUCCAAGCUAUAAUAUCCCGUAUUGUUGGACUAGAAAAAUUUAAUCGUCCAAUAUGAGCAAAAUUACCCGAGCCCGGAGAAUUCGAUGAUAUUCAAGGAUGAAAAUCGAGAGCUCGGUGUACAAAGAGUUUGAGGUCCCGAAAUAAUUUAGGACUUAACAAGUGUGACCAGGGUGACUGAGAAUAAUAUUUUAUGUGUACCAAAAGGGACUAUGGACUAGUGCUAUGUCACAUAAUCAUGGCAAUGAGUAUAUGAAGUGUAUUAAAAAUAAUAAUUAUUAAAGUGAAUUGAGAUCAAGAAAUUAAUUAAGAUCAUUGAAUAAAUAUUACGGGGGCAUAAUUAUCGUGGGAAAGUGUAAAGAUUGAUGAGUCCAUACGGGCCAUGACAAAAAACAAAUAUAAAGCAAUGCAUGGCUGUCCUAUAUACUAUUUGGUGGGUGGACACGUUGGGACAAUUAUGCUUAGUAAGCAAGAAUGAGGGGGGCAGGACCCCACGACUCCAUGGAAAAAGGUGGCAUUAAAAUAUGCAGAUGGGAGUGAUGAGUCAUGCACAUUAAAGUGCAUAUUGACACGUACAAAAGAAAGGAUGCUGAAUCCCUUUCUCCUUUUAGGCAUUCAAACUUAAAUCUUUCCCAUUUUGCUAUAACAACAAACGUACAACACCAUUAUUUUGACCGUUCUCUUUAGCUAAUUAUUUUGUUGUUUCAUUAUGCAAGGAAGCAACAACGUGACUUCCAUUUAUAUGGAAACAACGCAGUUUUGAAUUGAUAUAGUACCAACGUGACUUGGUAUUUUACGGAAGAAAAAUGUAAUUUUUUUCUCAAGAAUAAUAUUCGGGUUUUGCUCACCACUCCGAUCUUGUUGUUCCGUCUUAUCGUGUUGUUGAAUCCGGGCUUUCUUCGUAGUGAAGUAAGGUGGAAGAAGAUUAUUUCUUGGAAUAUAAGAUUGGCGAAGCCCGAGACCUAAGUUAUGGUUAACUUGAGAAGCGAAAAGGUACAGAUACUCGAUUUGGUGAUCCUCCAGCUUAGGAUUUCUACUCAGCUGUCUUGGAGAGCUCCAUUGUUUCGGAGCCUAGACUUUUGGUACAGAUCUUUUGAUGUAUAUAUAUAUAUAUAUAUAUAUAUAUAUAUAUAUAUAUAUAUAUAUAUGUUUAUCCAGAGGUAAGACGGGGCCCUGUCCCGUCAUAUUUCACUAUCGAUACUCUUAGAGGUCUGUAGACACAUAUGUGGGUUGUGUAUAAGUUUUGUUCAGCUGUGUUUAUACGAUGUGCUAUGGAUAUGUUCGUCUGUUAUGACAGCCUUGUCGGCUUGCGUAUGGCAUUGAUAUGUAGUGGCAGCCUUAUCGGCUUGCGUAUCAUAUUGACAUGUGGUGGCAGCCUUGUAUAUAUAUAUAUAUAUAUAUAUGAUGACGUUAUGAUUUGGAGUUCUUUUGUAAGUUUCCAUAUUCUUCUUAGAUUCAGUUUGACUAUAUCUAACAGGUAUGUAUACGAGUGUCCAACUCGGGCACUAGUCAUGGCCCACGGGGCUGGGUCGUGACAAUCAUACUUGCCUCCUGUAAUCUUUUAUUCAGUUAUGAUUUUCUUUAUUGUAUUUCAUGCUUUAUAUACUCAGUACAUAUUUCGUACUGACCCCCUUUCUUCGGGGGGGGGGGGGGGGGCUGCGUUUCAUGCCCGCAGGUAUAGACACUCAGUUUGGCGAUCCUCUAGCCCAGGACUUCUGCUCAGUUGUUUGGAGAGCUCCAUUGUUUCGGAGCCUAGAUUAUUUUGGUACAGAUCUUUUGAUGUAGACUUAUGCAUAUCCAAGGGUAAGGCGGGGCCCUGUCCCGUCCUAUUUUACCUUGUUACUCUUAGAGGUCUGUAGACAUGUGUGGGUUGUACAUAGGUUUUAGUCAGCUGUGUCAAUAUGGUUUGUUUUGGAUAUUCCCGUAUAUAGUGGCAGCCUUGUCGGCUUGCGUAUUGUGUUAUGCUUUGAUCAGCUGUGACUCCUCAGGAGACAGGUUUAUGAUGAUAUAUGGCAUUGUGAAUCUUUAGUUGCUUUGACAAGUUUCCAUUCCGUCCUUAGUUUCAGUUUGACUAUAUCUAACAGGUUCGUGUACGAGUGUUCAGGUUGGGCACUAGUCAUGCCCCAUGGGGUUGGGUCGUGACAUGUAUGCCUAAAAUAAGAUUCAAUUUGUUUUAAAUCUGGACCUAAUUUGAUUUGAGCAUAAUAGUAAUGUUUCUAUGGAAAAAACAUAUUGAAUUAGAAAGGCCUCCUUUUCUCUUUUGUUCCUAGAAUAAAUCUUCUUAGUUUCCUUUUAAUAGUUGUUCGUUUAACAUAAGUUCCAAAAUUAUUUCUUAUCCCUAAUGAUUUUGGCUAUAUUUUGAACCUGUUCAGAUAUUCUCAAAAUCUGAAAUUUACCCCUUUGUCAUCCUGACUUAUUUCCAAAAUGAGUUUAAGUUAGGAUAAUCCUUCAAUGUGAUAUACUUGAUAUUCUACUUAAUGUUAUCUUGUUUAAGAUUUGCCAUUCUCGAUACUCAUUCUUUACUCUCUUUCUUUCCUGGUAUGGUCUGAGGCCAAUGGAGUAAAGCACCAAGAAUAUAUGGCAUCUGGAUGUCACAAGCUAUGACACUCCUUGAGCAGUGAUAACAGUUGUGGCUGGCCACAGUAGUUCAGUUCCCAUUUGUUAUUUUUUAUUGACUGAUGUUAUGUUACAAGAGUGGCUGUUGCUUGGUUUGUUGCUGUUACUUUUGAAGUCCCUGAUGCCAUGUAUUUGAUCUGUAAUUGCCACGCAUAAAAGGAUAAGUUUUUGCUAUAUGUUGAGCUGAGUUUUCUGCUACAUUUUGUUCUAUGUUGAUUUUCGUGGCCAAACGCCUACUGACAGCUGAAGCAUCUCUAUGUACUUUAUUUUCUUCUUAUCAAUACGCACGGUAAAC
Molecule: long non-coding RNA, 3699 nt
Organism: Lycium barbarum (goji berry)
Lineage: Eukaryota; Viridiplantae; Streptophyta; Magnoliopsida; Solanales; Solanaceae
Exons: 3
Source: RefSeq, a predicted model, not a curated record